GUGACUGGGAAAUGACCUAGUGUAAGGCACCUUAAACUCAGCCUGGCAGGUGACUUUGGCAUUGUUUUGCUGUGUGGGGCUACGUACGAACGUAGGAAGUUCACAGGGGAGAUUUUUCAAGUUUUCCUUUCCUGGAGAGUGAUCUGUAAACAUGCUGUCAAAGCCAAGCAUUUGAUUUUUCUGUUGUCCUCACGGCAACACGCUGAGGAUCAGCUGUGUGCCAUGGCCUUCCCCCCUUCAGAAAACUUGGAGAUUUCAAGGAGGGAAUUGUAAUCCAUUGUUGGAUACCAGUUCUGUCGGGUUUCCUUCUCUGCUGAAAACAGCCGACAGGAAAGUAAUUACAGAAGCAGAUGUGACUUGUGACGUAAAUGUUACUUCUGGCCAUUUUUUGCCUUUUUUUUUUAACUAAUCCAACAGGGUGAUUCCAAAGCAAAAGUCAACUGGUACACGAGACACAUGGGCCUAUGGUGGUAAUUUCAAGCUUUUCCUUGGCUCAGUCAGAUCCAGGGACAAUUUGCAAUACCUUACCAAUCAUUUUUUCAAAUUAAAUUAGUCAGUAAGAGAAAUUUUCAGAGUAGCUUCAAUAUGUGCAUCCUAUGUAACUGCCUGCAAUGAAUCCCACCACUCUGUCCACUAACUUACUGAUGUCUCUGUCCUGAGCAAGAUAUUGAAGUGUUGCUGGUAAUUCCUUUGGAGUAAUAAAUCAGUAAGUAUUUUCCAUCUCA
Chiroxiphia lanceolata (lance-tailed manakin) is the source of this 725-nucleotide long non-coding RNA. RefSeq lists it as uncharacterized. The record is from RefSeq and is a predicted model, not a curated record. NCBI's taxonomy places the organism in Eukaryota, Metazoa, Chordata, Aves, Passeriformes, Pipridae. The transcript has 2 exons.